Chelonoidis abingdonii (Abingdon island giant tortoise) is the source of this 176-nucleotide unclassified non-coding RNA. The record is from Ensembl. NCBI's taxonomy places the organism in Eukaryota, Metazoa, Chordata, Testudines, Testudinidae.
UUGACAGCCUAGGAGACUGAAAUCCUCUAUUUAGUCACAGAACAGGUGCUGUGUGGGCUGUAUGAGUGCACACUUCCAGCUUUAAUGAACAAUCCCUGACCAUGUUUCUCCAAGAUUGACCCAGGGAAGAGAAGAAGAGAGUUCAGUCUCCAUAGUCUAUUUAGUUCUUAGAGUUU